CCCAAUGGGGGGAACCUUGAUGCAGCGACGCCGCGUGGAGGAAGAAGCCUUUCGGGUGGUAAAUUUUUUUUAUCGGGGAAAAUAGUGAUGUACCCUUAGAAAUAAGCCACGGCUAACUCUGUCCCAGCAGCCGCGGUAAGACAGAGGUGGCGAGCGUUGUUCGGAAUUACUGGGCUUAAAGGGCGCGUAGGUGGUGAUACAAGUCCGAGGUGGAAUUCGCAGUCAACUGUAGGAUUGCCUCAGAAACUGUCUUACUUGAGUCAGACAGGGGAAGGCGGAAUUCCCGGUGUAGCGGUGAAAUGCGUAGAUAUCAGGAGGAAGGCCUGUGGCGAAGGCGGCCUUCUGGGGCUUGACUGACACUGAGGCGCGAAAGCGUGGGGAGCAAACAGGAUUAGAUACCCCGGUAGUCC
This 410-nucleotide ribosomal RNA is filed under the name uncultured Nitrospirota bacterium. RNAcentral's name for it is "bacterial SSU rRNA". It matches the Rfam family "Bacterial small subunit ribosomal RNA", at positions 367 to 796 of the family's 1533-position model. Lineage: Bacteria; Pseudomonadati; Nitrospirota. The record is from RNAcentral.